GACGAACGCUGGCGGCGUGCCUAACACAUGCAAGUCGAACGGAAAGGCCCUGCUUGCAGGGUAUUCGAGUGGCGAACGGGGGAGUAACACGUGGGUGCUCUGCCCUGCACUUUGUGGUAAGCCUUGGAAACUGGGGCUAAUACCGCAUAGGAGCCAUUUUGAUGGUGAGGGUUGGAAAGAUUUUUCGGUGUAGGAUGAGCUCGCGGGCUAUAAUCUUGUUGGUGGGGGAAUGGCCUACCAAGGGGGCGGCGGGUCGCCGGCCUGGGAGGGUGGACGGCCAACUUGGGGCCGAGGGUAGGGCCAGGAUCCCAAGGGAGGCAAACGGGGGGAAUAUUGCAACAUGGGGGCGAGGCUGAUGCAGCGACGCCGCGUGGGGGAUUGCCGCCUUCGGGGUGUAAACUCGUUUCGGUAUGGAAGAAGGCUUUUGUGACGGUACCUAGAUAAGAAGCACCGGCUAACUACGUG
This 465-nucleotide ribosomal RNA is filed under the name uncultured bacterium. Its description in RNAcentral is "partial 16S ribosomal RNA". It matches the Rfam family "Bacterial small subunit ribosomal RNA", at positions 28 to 507 of the family's 1533-position model. The record is from RNAcentral.